This 940-nucleotide ribosomal RNA is filed under the name uncultured Bacteroidota bacterium. Its description in RNAcentral is "bacterial SSU rRNA". It matches the Rfam family "Bacterial small subunit ribosomal RNA", at positions 545 to 1501 of the family's 1533-position model. The record is from RNAcentral. Lineage: Bacteria; Pseudomonadati; Bacteroidota.
UCGGAAUUACUGGGCGUAAAGCNCACGUAGGCGNCUUGUAAGUCAGGGGUGAAAUCCCACAGCUCAACGUGAACUGCUUUUGAUACUGUCAGUCUAGAGUAUAGUUGAAGUUGGCGGAAUGUGUCAUGUAGCGGUGAAAUGCUUAGAUAUGACACAGAACACCGAUCGCGAAGGCAGCUAGCUAAGCUAUAACUGACGCUCAUGCACGAAAGCGUGGGGAUCAAACAGGAUUAGAUACCCUGGUAGUCCACGCUGUAAACGAUGAUUACUCGAUGUUGGCGAUACACAGUCAGCGUCUGAGCGAAAGCAAUAAGUAAUCCACCUGGGGAGUACGAUCGCAAGAUUGAAACUCAAAGGAAUUGACGGGGGCCCGCACAAGCGGAGGAGCAUGUGGUUUAAUUCGAUGAUACGCGAGGAACCUUACCUGGGCUCGAACGUAAGAUGACUGUAGGUGAAAGCUUACAUCUCUUCGGAGCAUUUUACGAGGUGCUGCAUGGUUGUCGUCAGCUCGUGCCGUGAGGUGUCGGGUUAAGUCCCAUAACGAGCGCAACCCCUACCUUUAGUUGCCAUCAGGUCAUGCUGGGGACUCUAAAGGAACUGCCUACGCAAGUAGUGAGGAAGGCGGGGAUGACGUCAAAUCAGCACGGCCCUUACGUCCAGGGCUACACACGUGCUACAAUGGCCGAUACAGAGGGCAGCUACCUGGUGACAGGAUGCAAAUCCCAAAGUCGGUCUCAGUUCGGAUCGGAGUCUGCAACCCGACUCCGUGAAGUUGGAUUCGCUAGUAAUCGCGCAUCAGUCAUGGCGCGGUGAAUACGUUCCCGGGCCUUGUACACACCGCCCGUCAAGCCAUGGAAGCUGGGGGGACCUAAAGUCGAUAACCGCAAGGAGUCGCCUAGGGUAAAACCAGUGACUGGGGCUAAGUCGUAACAAGGUAACC